UACGUAGGGGGCAAGCGUUGUCCGGAUUUAUUGGGCGUAAAGAGCGUGUAGGCGGCCAAGCAGGUCCGUUGUGAAAACUGGAGGCUUAACCUCCAGACGUCGACGGAAACCGCGUGGCUAGAGUCCGGAAGAGGAGAGUGGAAUUCCUGGUGUAGCGGUGAAAUGCGCAGAUAUCAGGAAGAACACCAAUGGCGAAGGCAGCUCUCUGGGACGGUACUGACGCUGAGACGCGAAAGCGUGGGGAGCAAACAGG
Molecule: ribosomal RNA, 253 nt
Filed under: uncultured bacterium
Lineage: Bacteria
Description: partial 16S ribosomal RNA
Rfam family: Bacterial small subunit ribosomal RNA
Source: RNAcentral